UCCCUGGUGGUCCAGUGGUUAGGACUCUGCACUUUCACUGCUGAGGGCCUGGGUUCAGUCCCCACUCUGGGAA
Non-coding RNA from Dama dama (fallow deer), 73 nucleotides. The record is from the annotation of a RefSeq genome assembly. NCBI's taxonomy places the organism in Eukaryota, Metazoa, Chordata, Mammalia, Artiodactyla, Cervidae.